This 187-nucleotide ribosomal RNA is filed under the name uncultured Flavobacteriaceae bacterium. RNAcentral's name for it is "partial 16S ribosomal RNA". It matches the Rfam family "Bacterial small subunit ribosomal RNA", at positions 340 to 524 of the family's 1533-position model. Lineage: Bacteria; Pseudomonadati; Bacteroidota; Flavobacteriia; Flavobacteriales; Flavobacteriaceae. The record is from RNAcentral.
UACGGGAGGCAGCAGUGAGGAAUAUUGGACAAUGGGUGGAAGCCUGAUCCAGCCAUCCCGCGUGUAGGAUGACGGCCUUAUGGGUUGUAAACUACUUUUAUCUGGGGAUAAACCUACUUACGUGUAAGUAGCUGAAGGUACCAGAAGAAUAAGCACCGGCUAACUCCGUGCCAGCAGCCGCGGUAAU